UAUGACCAUAGCAUGUUGAAACACCAGUUCUCAUAUGAUCACCAAAGUUAAACAAUGUUGAGCCUGGUCAGUACCUACAUGGGUGACUGCUUGGAAUACC
Acanthosepion pharaonis is the source of this 100-nucleotide non-coding RNA. The record is from the annotation of a GenBank genome assembly. NCBI's taxonomy places the organism in Eukaryota, Metazoa, Mollusca, Cephalopoda, Sepiida, Sepiidae.